CUAAAACCGCGAAACACGUAACCCGCGUUCUCGUUAUAGGAAAAGUAUCCCUCUCGUGAGGCUCUUCUCGGUCGAGCCACCCCUUUCCCCGCUUUUAAUCGCGUAUGUAUGUGCGGCGUUUAGAGGGAAAAUUCAUGGACGUGUCACGUACGUUUUCCCGUACCCUUCCUCGAUCAUGCUCCUUCCCGUUCGCUCGUGCCUGAUACCGACAUCCGACAACGCGAGCCGAAUCACAGCUGAUAUCAACAGCACCGUCGCUGUCAUCAUUGUCUGUGCCGCGAACAACGUAACAACGUGACAUCAAUCCCGGUGAAUCGAUUGAAUCGAACCGGCGAUCGGGAGAAGCCGUGACCUUGACGAUUCACGUUGCAAGCGGGAUAUACCAGAUUAGACGGGAAGGGGGGGGGGAGGGGGCAAUUAACGCGCGUUAUCCGACGAUGAUGCGCUAAUGGAGAACGAUCGCGGUACCCGCGUUAUUAUCCUCGGAAGAAAGAACACAUGAUUGCUUUGCGAUGCACGUAGGAUAUACAGUGGUAGAAGUCUGAACUUUUGACAACUCUCGAUUAUGCCAUUUCGUGUGUUCUGUACUUAUUUUAAUAUCUCAACCGAAGAGAUUGUGUCAAAUGUCAUCGGACAGAUACGCGACAAAUGUGUUGAGAUAGUCGGUUUUUAUAAGAUAUAAUCUAAUCAUACAUUGAUGAUAGCUUGAAGAUUGAUUGAACAUCAGACUGUCUCAUCGGAGUGUAUUUUACGUGUGAUUAAUUUGAAUAAAAAUAUGUAAAAAAAAAUAUGACAGUAAUCUUAGAAUUACGAUGAUUUUCCGAAGUGUCUCAAUGAGAAAACAAAAUGAGAGAACAGACGAGAAGGAGGAAUCUCGUAAACGUAAAUGCGACGCUGAUACUCUGACGUUCAGCCGCCUCGAGAACGUCGCGAGAAUCAUCUUGGACGAUCGCACGUCGGGGUGAUUACGGUCGUAAGGGACCGUCGUCGUAGUGGCACGGGUGCGCAAGGCAAAACAUGAAUGACAGCAAGAUCUAUUUAUUGAGCUUGGAAGACGAGGCAAACGUAUUAAACGACGAUCUGGUCGACAAGAGUUUCUACAACACGAGCUAUCCACCGCUCUUUAAUCACACCCACGAGGAUCUCUGGGGACUCGCCACGGAUCGAAUUGGUCUUGCGAUAGUUUUGUUGCUCUUCUCCGUAGCUACCGUCUUCGGCAACUCGUUGGUGAUCCUCGCGGUAUUUCGCGAGAGGCAUCUGCACACAGCGACAAACUACUUCGUGACCUCGUUGGCCUGCGCCGAUUGUCUGGUAGGCCUGGUGGUGAUGCCAAUCAGCGCGAUAUACGAGGUACUAGAGAACCGUUGGCUCUUCACGAUAGACUGGUGCGAUGUCUGGCGAUCGUUGGACGUUCUCUUCUCCACGGCAUCCAUCCUGAAUCUGUGCGUCAUUAGCCUAGACCGCUACUGGGCGAUCACCGAUCCCUUCACGUAUCCGAUGCGUAUGAGCAGGAAACGCGCGGCAAUCCUUAUCGCUAUUGUGUGGAUCUGCUCGAGCGCUAUCUCCUUCCCCGCGAUAGCGUGGUGGCGUGCGGUACGGACCGAGCAAGUACCCGAAGACAAGUGUCCGUUCACAGAGAAUCUCGGCUAUCUGAUAUUUUCGUCGACAAUUAGCUUUUACCUGCCGCUAUUCGUGAUGGUGUUCACGUAUUACAGAAUCUAUCGCGCUGCCGUGAUACAGACGAGGAGUCUGAAACUCGGCACGAAACAAGUGAUGAUGGCUUCCGGUGAGCUCGAGCUUACACUCAGAAUGCACCGGGGCGGUGUGUCCACAAACACCGAUGCCAGACACCUAUUCCGCACCGCCUCGAGCACGCCUGAGGAUCUUCAGGAUCUCGAGGAACCGUUAACGGCACUCCACAACAACGGUCUUACCAGAGUGCCAUCCGUGCGGAUCAACAACAAGCAGCAUCUGGGCAAAAAUUUCUCUUUGUCGCGGAAGCUUGCCAAGUUUGCCAAGGAGAAGAAGGCGGCGAAGACUCUUGGUAUCGUUAUGGGUGUCUUUAUUAUUUGUUGGCUACCGUUCUUCGUUGUGAAUCUAUGGUCAGGAUUCUGCACGAAGUGUAUAUGGCAGGAGGAAAUCGUGUCCGCUGCCGUCACCUGGCUCGGCUGGAUUAACAGCGGAAUGAAUCCUGUAAUAUACGCCUGCUGGAGUAGAGACUUUCGUAGAGCUUUUGUCAGAAUUCUAUGCUACUGUUGUCCCAGAAAAAUGAAACGGCGGUAUCAACCGGCAUUCAGAUGUAAACCAAGUCAGAAAUUUGCAUCCGGACGGUACUACUCCGCGUAUUCGAUCCAUCACGUACGGAGAAGUCGAGAAAAUUCCGGCGAGCAAACCUACAUUUAACAACGGAAUAUCAUCGCGAGCUGGCCGUCGAUCGUUGAUCGUAGAAUUCCUCGAGACUUUUCUUUUUAUCUUUUAUUUUCUUCGUCCCUUUUUAAUGUAAUAUGAGUAAAGCAGUUAAUACAGUUUAGCAAUUAAUUUCCAACUGUAAUUCCCGUAUCUAUUUUCCAAGACCCUUACGUAUCAGAGAUCGACGAACAUCUCAACGAAUAUCGACGCAUUCCCGUAGAAUGUAAAUUCUCGUAUAUUUCCGGAAUGGCAACGGGAGGGCAAGCGAGUAAUGUAAGCUACAGUAGUGUCAGCCAAAGUAGCGAUGGUGGCAUAUGCGCAACCGGAAGUGGACCUUCCAGCGGCGGUAUGUGACGUCACACGUCGGCCCGAUCGGGGCCACGUCGAGAGCGAGCAAUUCGAUUCCGUGAGGCGUGAUUGGUGACACGAUCAAGAUCGAGAAGACCCUAAAAAAACUAGAAGAAUUUUUCUGUGCAAUUUAAUUUUAUUGCGCUUGGAAAAUGUCAAGAGGACGCGCUUUGGACGGUAUCACAAUUCAUUGCUGCGAGACGUCUCUGCGAAACAAAAAAUAGGAACGUGUUGUGGGUGGACGGGAUAGAAACGGCUUGACGAGUGAACAUAUAGACCGCGAAACACCUGAUGCUGCGAAACACGUACUUAACAAUGGACUUUCGCAACGGCUUUCAAAUUGCCACGAUUUAACUUAAAACGAAUCGUUGGAUUCUCGCUUCUGUAAUCGUAUUAACGAGUGAGCAAACACGUUGCGAAUGUAUUCUGUCAUCGCACGUGGGCUCUUGAAGGGAAGUAAAAACCAGCGUGGUCAGCUCGGGCGUAAUGCGCCGCAAGAGACUAAAUUUGUAGAUGCUCUAUUCAUGUUACAGAAAAAGAUCUUAUAGAAAAAAGUAUCCUUGUGGAAGUUUAACACACGCGAUCUCUCAUCUAAGACGCUGAUUGUACCAAUUACAGAUCAAUGCUACCUCUGAUUAGUCAAACUUUCUGAAACUAUUUGCAUCGUUAAUAGAAUUAUAAUAUGUAAAAGUGACAGUCAAUAUGAAAAAAAUUCACAAUUGCUAGUCCAAGAUUUAAUUACCUAAUACUGUCGAUGCAACCGAAGAUAAGAUAUUGUAUGAGACCAAACUAUAGAUAUCUGUGACAAUUAGAUAAGCUCGCGACUACUCUCGAUGGAACUUAUUCGAUGGCAAAAAAGAAGAUACGCGCAUAUAGAUGCGAGUAGAUGUAAAUAACAAACAAAAGCAAUAUAUACAAGUAAAAAAAGUCUCAAAUAAGAAAAAAAAUAAAUAUUUGGGCAAUAUAUAUUUCACAUCCUUUGAAUAUAACGUACAUACGAAGAUAGUUUUGUAAAAAGAACUAGUCACAUGUAUAUUGAAUAGUCUUAAGGAUAGAAAAAGAGUUAGAGGAAAAAACAUUCUGUUCUUUUAACUUCAAAUAUAAGUAAAAGAUAAGAAUAAGUUUGUAUGCAAAGCUUUUUCAGACAGAUGCAGCUUUUGAGUCUUUUUACUUUAUCAAAUAUUUUUUUUUUUUUUUUGUAUUAGUAUAAUAUUUUUAUUUUUAUAGUAGUUUUUGUUGUUCUAUACACUUUCUAGCUUGUUUUACUUGAUUAUAUAUAUGUUAAUUAACGCAUUAUACAAUGCAAUACUUUUUUUCAAUAAUUCUUCCGACAAUAAAAAUAUCAGAAAAAAGUUUUAAUACAAGAUAUAGUUAAAUGAAGAAAAAAU
RNA transcript from Formica exsecta, 4145 nucleotides. It is a transcript of the gene named dopamine receptor 2, with no coding region annotated. NCBI's taxonomy places the organism in Eukaryota, Metazoa, Arthropoda, Insecta, Hymenoptera, Formicidae. The record is from RefSeq and is a predicted model, not a curated record. The transcript has 5 exons.